AUGCUCACUGCAUGGGUACAUGUACCAAGGCUGGAAUCAGCCAGAGAAAAUUAGCAUGGCCCCAUGACACAUUAAUUCAUGAAGUGUUCCAUAUUUAA
This 98-nucleotide small nuclear RNA is filed under the name Meriones unguiculatus (Mongolian gerbil). The record is from RNAcentral. Lineage: Eukaryota; Metazoa; Chordata; Mammalia; Rodentia; Muridae.